This 468-nucleotide ribosomal RNA is filed under the name uncultured bacterium. RNAcentral's name for it is "partial 16S ribosomal RNA". It matches the Rfam family "Bacterial small subunit ribosomal RNA", at positions 28 to 507 of the family's 1533-position model. The record is from RNAcentral.
GACGAACGCUGGCGGCGUGCUUAACACAUGCAAGUCGAACGGAAAGGCCCUGCUUUUGUGGGGUGCUCGAGUGGCGAACGGGUGAGUAACACGUGAGUAACCUGCCCUUGACUUUGGGAUAACUUCAGGAAACUGGGGCUAAUACCGGAUAGGAGCUCCUGCUGCAUGGUGGGGGUUGGAAAGUUUCGGCGGUUGGGGAUGGACUCGCGGCUUAUCAGCUUGUUGGUGGGGUAGUGGCGUACCAAGGCUUUGACGGGUAGCCGGCCUGAGAGGGUGACCGGCCACAUUGGGACUGAGAUACGGACCAGACUCCUACGGGAGGCAGCAGUGGGGAAUAUUGCACAAUGGGCGGAAGCCUGAUGCAGCAACGCCGCGUGCGGGAUGACGGCCUUCGGGUUGUAAACCGCUUUCGCCUGUGACGAAGCGUGAGUGACGGUAAUGGGUAAAGAAGCACCGGCUAACUACGUG